This 2440-nucleotide ribosomal RNA is filed under the name Salmonella enterica subsp. enterica serovar Virchow. RNAcentral describes it as "partial 23S ribosomal RNA". It matches the Rfam family "Bacterial large subunit ribosomal RNA". Lineage: Bacteria; Pseudomonadati; Pseudomonadota; Gammaproteobacteria; Enterobacterales; Enterobacteriaceae. The record is from RNAcentral.
CCACCACCAAAGCAUUCUCUGGUGUUGAAGGCCCUGCAAAGCAGCAUCGCGGUGGCGGAGCGUCGUUUGCGACGCCCAACACACAAAACAAGCGGUGAGUGCUUUGGGGUGGGGUGACUGCGUACCUUUUGUAUAAUGGGUCAGCGACUUAUAUUCUGUAGCAAGGUUAACCGAAUAGGGGAGCCGGAGGGAAACCGAGUCUUAAUUGGGCGUUAAGUUGCAGGGUAUAGACCCGAAACCCGGUGAUCUAGCCAUGGGCAGGUUGAAGGUUGGGUAACACUAACUGGAGGACCGAACCGACUAAUGUUGAAAAAUUAGCGGAUGACCUGUGGCUGGGGGUGAAAGGCCAAUCAAACCGGGAGAUAGCUGGUUCUCCCCGAAAGCUAUUUAGGUAGCGCCUCGUGAAUUCAUCUCCGGGGGUAGAGCACUGUUUCGGCUAGGGGGCCAUCCCGGCUUACCAACCCGAUGCAAACUGCGAAUACCGGAGAAUGUUAUCACGGGAGACACACGGCGGGUGCUAACGUCCGUCGUGAAGAGGGAAACAACCCAGACCGCCAGCUAAGGUCCCAAAGUCAUGGUUAAGUGGGAAACGAUGUGGGAAGGCCCAGACAGCCAGGAUGUUGGCUUAGAAGCAGCCAUCAUUUAAAGAAAGCGUAAUAGCUCACUGGUCGAGUCGGCCUGCGCGGAAGAUGUAACGGGGCUAAACCAUGCACCGAAGCUGCGGCAGCGACACUCAGGUGUUGUUGGGUAGGGGAGCGUUCUGUAAGCCUGUGAAGGUGGCCUGUGAGGGUUGCUGGAGGUAUCAGAAGUGCGAAUGCUGACAUAAGUAACGAUAAAGCGGGUGAAAAGCCCGCUCGCCGGAAGACCAAGGGUUCCUGUCCAACGUUAAUCGGGGCAGGGUGAGUCGACCCCUAAGGCGAGGCCGAAAGGCGUAGUCGAUGGGAAACGGGUUAAUAUUCCCGUACUUGGUGUUACUGCGAAGGGGGGACGGAGAAGGCUAUGUUGGCCGGGCGACGGUUGUCCCGGUUUAAGCGUGUAGGUGUGUGUUCCAGGUAAAUCCGGUUCACUUUAACACUGAGGCGUGACGACGAGGCACUACGGUGCUGAAGCAACAAAUGCCCUGCUUCCAGGAAAAGCCUCUAAGCAUCAGGUAACAUCAAAUCGUACCCCAAACCGACACAGGUGGUCAGGUAGAGAAUACCAAGGCGCUUGAGAGAACUCGGGUGAAGGAACUAGGCAAAAUGGUGCCGUAACUUCGGGAGAAGGCACGCUGACACGUAGGUGAAGUGAUUUACUCAUGGAGCUGAAGUCAGUCGAAGAUACCAGCUGGCUGCAACUGUUUAUUAAAAACACAGCACUGUGCAAACACGAAAGUGGACGUAUACGGUGUGACGCCUGCCCGGUGCCGGAAGGUUAAUUGAUGGGGUCAGCGCAAGCGAAGCUCCUGAUCGAAGCCCCGGUAAACGGCGGCCGUAACUAUAACGGUCCUAAGGUAGCGAAAUUCCUUGUCGGGUAAGUUCCGACCUGCACGAAUGGCGUAAUGAUGGCCAGGCUGUCUCCACCCGAGACUCAGUGAAAUUGAACUCGCUGUGAAGAUGCAGUGUACCCGCGGCAAGACGGAAAGACCCCGUGAACCUUUACUAUAGCUUGACACUGAACAUUGAGCCUUGAUGUGUAGGAUAGGUGGGAGGCUUUGAAGUGUGGACGCCAGUCUGCAUGGAGCCGACCUUGAAAUACCACCCUUUAAUGUUUGAUGUUCUAACGUGGACCCGUAAUCCGGGUUGCGGACAGUGUCUGGUGGGUAGUUUGACUGGGGCGGUCUCCUCCUAAAGAGUAACGGAGGAGCACGAAGGUUGGCUAAUCCUGGUCGGACAUCAGGAGGUUAGUGCAAUGGCAUAAGCCAGCUUGACUGCGAGCGUGACGGCGCGAGCAGGUGCGAAAGCAGGUCAUAGUGAUCCGGUGGUUCUGAAUGGAAGGGCCAUCGCUCAACGGAUAAAAGGUACUCCGGGGAUAACAGGCUGAUACCGCCCAAGAGUUCAUAUCGACGGCGGUGUUUGGCACCUCGAUGUCGGCUCAUCACAUCCUGGGGCUGAAGUAGGUCCCAAGGGUAUGGCUGUUCGCCAUUUAAAGUGGUACGCGAGCUGGGUUUAGAACGUCGUGAGACAGUUCGGUCCCUAUCUGCCGUGGGCGCUGGAGAACUGAGGGGGGCUGCUCCUAGUACGAGAGGACCGGAGUGGACGCAUCACUGGUGUUCGGGUUGUCAUGCCAAUGGCACUGCCCGGUAGCUAAAUGCGGAAGAGAUAAGUGCUGAAAGCAUCUAAGCACGAAACUUGCCCCGAGAUGAGUUCUCCCUGAGACUUUAGGUCUCCUGAAGGAACGUUGAAGACGACGACGUUGAUAGGCCGGGUGUGUAAGCGCAGCGAUGCGUUGAGCUAACCGG